GUAAUACUCCCUCCGUCCGGAAAUACUUGUCGGAAAAAUGCAUAAAAAUGGAUGUAUUUAGAAUUAAGAUACGUCUAGAUACAUCCGUUGCUCCGAUAAGUAUUUCCGGACGGAGGGAGUAGAUU
Triticum aestivum (bread wheat) is the source of this 125-nucleotide non-coding RNA. NCBI's taxonomy places the organism in Eukaryota, Viridiplantae, Streptophyta, Magnoliopsida, Poales, Poaceae. The record is from Rfam.